Molecule: unclassified non-coding RNA, 329 nt
Filed under: soil metagenome
Description: partial contains 5.8S ribosomal RNA, internal transcribed spacer 2, and large subunit ribosomal RNA
Rfam family: 5.8S ribosomal RNA (bases 1-120)
Source: RNAcentral
GAUGAAGAACGUAGCGAAAUGCGAUAAGUAGUGUGAAUUGCAGAAUUCAGUGAAUCUUCGAAUCUUUGAACGCACAUUGCGCCCCUUGGUAUCCCGAGGGGCAUGCCUGUUCGAGCGUCAUUUCACCACUCAAGCCUGGCUUGGUGUUGGGCGACGUCCUCUUUGGGGACGCGCCUCGAAACGCUCGGCGGCGUGGCACCGGCUUUAAGCGUAGCAGAAUCUUUCGCUUUGGAAGUCGGGGCCCCGUCUGCCGGAAGACCUGCUCGCAAGGUUGACCUCGGAUCAGGCAGGGAUACCCGCUGAACUUAAGCAUAUCAAUAAGCGGAGGA